RNAcentral lists this ribosomal RNA (795 nucleotides) under uncultured cyanobacterium. RNAcentral describes it as "bacterial SSU rRNA". It matches the Rfam family "Bacterial small subunit ribosomal RNA", at positions 45 to 883 of the family's 1533-position model. The record is from RNAcentral. Lineage: Bacteria; Bacillati; Cyanobacteriota.
UGCUUACACAUGCAAGUCGAACGGUCUUUUCGGAGAUAGUGGCGGACGGGUGAGUAACGCGUAAGAAUCUACCUUCAGGUUGGGGACAACCACUGGAAACGGUGGCUAAUACCGAAUGUGCCGAGAGGUGAAAGGCUUGCUGCCUGAAGAAGAGCUUGCGUCUGAUUAGCUAGUUGGUGGGGUAAGAGCCUACCAAGGCGACGAUCAGUAGCUGGUCUGAGAGGAUGAUCAGCCACACUGGGACUGAGACACGGCCCAGACUCCUACGGGAGGCAGCAGUGGGGAAUUUUCCGCAAUGGGCGAAAGCCUGACGGAGCAAUACCGCGUGAGGGAGGAAGGCUCUUGGGUUGUAAACCUCUUUUCUCAGGGAAGAAGAAAGUGACGGUACCUGAGGAAUAAGCAUCGGCUAACUCCGUGCCAGCAGCCGCGGUAAUACGGAGGAUGCAAGCGUUAUCCGGAAUGAUUGGGCGUAAAGGGUCCGCAGGUGGCAUUGUAAGUCUGCUGUUAAAGAGUCACGCUCAACGUGAUAAAAGCAGUGGAAACUACAAAGCUAGAGUAUGGUCGGGGCAGAGGGAAUUCCUGGUGUAGCGGUGAAAUGCGUAGAUAUCAGGAAGAACAUCGGUGGCGAAGGCGCUCUGCUAGGCCAAAACUGACACUGAGGGACGAAAGCUAGGGGAGCGAAUGGGAUUAGAUACCCCAGUAGUCCUGGCCGUAAACGAUGGGAUACUAGGCGUAGCUCGUAUCGACCCGAGCUGUGCCGUAGCUAACGCGUUAAGUAUCCCGCCUGGGGAGUAC